This 67-nucleotide transfer RNA is filed under the name Marmota monax (woodchuck). RNAcentral's name for it is "tRNA.Phe". The record is from RNAcentral. Lineage: Eukaryota; Metazoa; Chordata; Mammalia; Rodentia; Sciuridae.
GGUGCAACUCAGUGGGAGAGCACUUGCCUGAAAUGUACAGGCCUGGGUUUGAUCCCCAGCAGCACUA